GGGUUGUUAGCUCAGUUGGUAGAGCAGCGGACUCUUAAUCCGUCAGUCGAGAGUUCGAGUCUCUCACAACCCACCA
This 76-nucleotide transfer RNA is filed under the name Haemophilus influenzae. RNAcentral describes it as "tRNA-Lys". It matches the Rfam family "tRNA". From Rfam's summary of the family: Transfer RNA (tRNA) molecules are approximately 80 nucleotides in length. Their secondary structure includes four short double-helical elements and three loops (D, anti-codon, and T loops). Further hydrogen bonds mediate the characteristic L-shaped molecular structure. tRNAs have two regions of fundamental functional importance: the anti-codon, which is responsible for specific mRNA codon recognition, and the 3' end, to which the tRNAs corresponding amino acid is attached (by aminoacyl-tRNA synthetases). tRNAs cope with the degeneracy of the genetic code in two manners: having more than one tRNA (with a specific anti-codon) for a particular amino acid; and 'wobble' base-pairing, i.e. permitting non-standard base-pairing at the 3rd anti-codon position. Lineage: Bacteria; Pseudomonadati; Pseudomonadota; Gammaproteobacteria; Pasteurellales; Pasteurellaceae. RNAcentral also lists the same sequence under 1 other name. The record is from RNAcentral.